Molecule: long non-coding RNA, 583 nt
Filed under: Helianthus annuus (common sunflower)
Lineage: Eukaryota; Viridiplantae; Streptophyta; Magnoliopsida; Asterales; Asteraceae
Description: hypothetical non coding rna
Source: RNAcentral
GUCUUGCUAAAAGUCUCACCUUGGAAGGGUGUUGCAAGGUUCGGUAAGCGUGGUAAGCUUAAUCCGAGGUAUAUUGGGCCGUUCGAGGUUUUAGACAAGGUUGGUACCGUCGCGUACAAACUAAAGUUGCCCGAUGAGCUAAGUGGCGUUCAUGACACAUUCCAUGUGUCAAACUUGAAGAAGUGUCUAGCCGACGAGACGCUUAUCAUUCCUCCAGAUGAAAUCUGUAUCGAUGACAAACUCCACUUUAUUGAAGAACCGGUCGAGCGCGGACCUGAGUUUACAUGGGAACGCGAGGAUCAAAUGAAGACGAAGUAUCCCCACCUGUUUGAGAAGACUCCUGUUCAGGAUGACUCGGGUUGAAUUUCGGGACGAAAUUCUUUUAACGGGGGGAGAAUGUGACAACCGGCAAAAUUUCAGGUUAAUCCGCACGAUCUAAUCACUAUUUAUUUACUAAAUUACGUGCCUUUAGACUUAAUUAUAUAAUUAAUUGAGUCCAUAAAGUCUAGCGAUAUCCGGGUAAAUGCAUGGGUUCACAUUUGAUGUCAUUUGGUAUCAUCUUAUCGUGUAGCGAUAAGAGUAU